RNAcentral lists this ribosomal RNA (500 nucleotides) under uncultured bacterium. RNAcentral's name for it is "partial 16S ribosomal RNA". It matches the Rfam family "Bacterial small subunit ribosomal RNA", at positions 30 to 523 of the family's 1533-position model. The record is from RNAcentral.
AUUGAACGCUGGCGGAAUGCUUUACACAUGCAAGUCGAACGGCAGCUCGGACUUCGGUCUGGUGGCGAGUGGCGAACGGGUGAGUAAUGUAUCGGAACGAGCCCAGUCGUGGGGGAUAACGUAGUGAAAAUUACGCUAAUACCGCAUACGAUCUAUGGAUGAAAGCGGGGGAUCGCAAGACCUCGCGCGAUUGGAGCGGCCGAUAUCAGAUUAGGUAGUUGGUGGGGUAAAGGCCCACCAAGCCAACGAUCUGUAGCUGGUCUGAGAGGACGACCAGCCAAACUGGAACUGAGACACGGUCCAGCCUCCUACGGGAGGCAGCAGUGGGGAAUUUUGGACAAUGGGCGAAAGCCUGAUUCAGCCAUUCCGCGUGCAGGAUGAAGGCCCUCGGGUUGUAAACUGCUUUUGUACAGAACGAAAAGGUUUCUACUAAUACUAGGAGCUCAUGACGGUACUGUAAGAAUAAGCACCGGCUAACUACGUGCCAGCCGCCGCCGUAA